CCUACGGGUGGCAGCAGUGAGGAAUAUUGGUCAAUGGUCGGGAGACUGAACCAGCCAAGCCGCGUGAGGGAUGAAGGUACAGAGUAUCGUAAACCUCUUUUGUCAGGGAACAAAGGCGGGGACGUGUCCCCGGAUGAGUGUACCUGAAGACAAAGCAUCGGCUAAAUCCGUGCCAGCAGCCGCGGUAAUACGGAGGAUGCGAGCGUUAUCCGGAUUUGUUGGGGUCAAAGGGUGCGCAGGCGGUCUGUUAAGUCAGCGGUCAAAGCCCGGGGACCAACCCCGGCCCGCCGUUGAAACUGGCAGGCUCGAGUGGGAGAGAAGUAUGCGGAAUGCGCGGUGUAGCGGUGAAAUGCAUAGAUAUCGCGCAGAACUCCGAUUGCGAAGGCAGCAUGCCGGCUCCACACUGACGCUGAGGCACGAAAGCGUGGGUAUCGAACAGGAUUAGAUACCCGGGUAGUC
RNAcentral lists this ribosomal RNA (459 nucleotides) under uncultured bacterium. Its description in RNAcentral is "partial 16S ribosomal RNA". It matches the Rfam family "Bacterial small subunit ribosomal RNA", at positions 338 to 795 of the family's 1533-position model. The record is from RNAcentral.